Molecule: long non-coding RNA, 3046 nt
Organism: Carassius gibelio (silver crucian carp)
Lineage: Eukaryota; Metazoa; Chordata; Actinopteri; Cypriniformes; Cyprinidae
Exons: 3
Source: RefSeq, a predicted model, not a curated record
AGCGUCGGGAUUUAAAACAUUAAGAACUACAAAUCCCAAACCCUUGUCCGGAAAUGAUGCGGCCUCGUCGACGUCCUUCGUGAACUGUUUGGUUAUUUAGUCUGGAUUCAAUGAAGAAAAAAAAAAAACAAUAAAAAAGAGAUUUUUUUUUUCUGCUUUGAACCUCUUCUCUUUAAUUUUCCAGACUACAGUAAAGGAAAGAAAGUAAGACCAUCACAGCGAAAGAUAGGUCUCAAAUAACAGAUUUCGAUUAUAUAAUAAAGAGCUUUUUAUCUAUUGUAUGAUUGCAGACCAAACUGACCAGUGAGGUCAUGUAAAUAUGAGUGAAGAUCAAAUUUGUCAGUGUCCUAAUGUUUUAUAUAACAAUGAUUAUUCUGCUGGAUCACAUUUUGUGAUGAGAUUAAAAUUCUAGUGAAUUUGUCCCAUUCAACAUACAGAAACACAAUCACAAAAUCAGAGGCUCUCACCUGAGAUGAGUGUUAAUACCGGGUGCAAACGGGGCCGAGGACAUUUGACACUUGAAUGGAUGUACUGUAUGAAAUGUGUCUAAAAUCCUUUUUUCUGUCUCAGGAUCAUCACCCAUCCUACACACCUGAGGUCUACGCUUCCUACACAAACAUCCCGCUGGGGGUAUUCUUCUCAGUAUGCAGAGAUCUGAGAGAGCUCAGGCACCUGAGAAGAUCACUUUAAACUAUCGGCAAUACUGUAAAGUUAUAAAAAGGGUAUCACCAAACACUAAAAGUACUUGAUUAUAAUAACUGUCAUGUUUUUCUAUAUUAAUAUAUUUUAGAUGUACUACAUUGCAAUUGCAUCAUUACAAAUUAGUAGUUACAGAUAUUUAAGUAAAUUACUUACAGGUUUUAAUAGAAAUUAUAUUAAAGUAUAUUAUAGUUUUGCAUAAAAGCUUGUCAGUUCUGCAGUACACGUACCCAGAUUUUGAGGACAGUAUAAUUAUGAAUUUUUAUAUAAAGAUGCAAGUCCUACUUCGGUGGCACUCUGAAGUUACAUUUGAAAUUAAUUUAAACCGUUAUGCAUUUUAAUUGAAUUUUAAGUGAUAAACGUCAUACCGAUGUAUAUCCAUAGUAUACCUAAAUUAUAUUAUUUACAUAAUAAGUAAACAUAAGUUGAUUGAUGGUCCAUAAUACUUAAAGCAUUGUCUUAAUACUUAAAGUUGCUGCUGUUGCUUAUUGUUCAUCACUCUUCUUCCUGCAGGUUUAUUAACGUCAUCCAUCUUUUUUUUCCCCCUUUGAUUUAGUCUUUUAGCUGCAGUCUAGUAACCAUCUGCAGGGACCGAAGCCUUUUCCUCUUGACGGACUGUUGGCUUUAGUCUACAGCAGUGAUCCUCAAAUCUGCAAAGUUUAGCUCUAACCCUAAUCAAACACGCAUGAGUUUGCUAAUCAGUGUCUUCAGGAUCAUUAAAAAAUCACAGGCAGGUGUGUUUAAUUGGAGUCGGAGCUAAACUCUGCAGGAAACUGGAUCUUGCGAGCCAGAUUUGAGGAUCACUUGUCUACAGUGUGGUUGAUGGCAGAGUUGCACCUACAGCCAGUAUCUUCUCACAGAACCGUAGGCUUGAUGCGGUGAAGUGUCUGGAGGACUUCCUGUGAUCCUCUAGCAGUGGACGUGAACCAGGCAUCUUAAGUGGACAAAAUCACAUUACAUCACUAGGAAUUAUGGACGUGAAUGGACUGUCUGAGAAAUUAUGUUACAGGAAAAUCCUGCAUUUAUUAGUCCAAUCAGAUGUCACCAUAGAAAAAUACUCCGUUUAUACAUGAGACUCUUUCCUCAGACAGAGAUUUGUUGGGUUUGGUGUGUUAACGUCUGACACAGCUUAAUACUAGUCUAAUAAAUACUGUAGUUUGUAAUAAUGGGUCCAAUUUAUUUUUCAUAAACUACCUGCCAAAUUUGGGGUUGGAAUGAUUUUAUUUUUAAUGUUUUUGUAUUUAUUGAUGAACAGAAUGUUAAAAAAAAAGACUUUAUUCAUGAAUUUGUAUAUUAUUAUUAUUAUUAUAUAAUUAUUUUAAUUAUUAUAUAUUUACUUUAUAUUAGCAUGGUUGAUCAAUUUAACACAUCCUUCCUCAAAGAAACUAUUAGUUAAUAAUAGUUAUGACACAAAGGUAGUUUGGUGCAUUAUAUGUGUGCUCUGGUCAAAGCUUUACCACUAAUUGACUGUAUUAAACAUUAAUUCAUUUAUGUGUUCUAGGUGUUAUUCCCAUGUUCAUGCAGUGUUCAUGGUAACAUCAUGGUUGCAAAUGUCCAUUCAACCACAUUUAAAUGAGUGAGAUAUUACAGAUAUGUUUUGUGUUAUUUGGCUCCUUUGUAGAAGAGUAGCUCCGCUCAGAGGACUGACCUCCUUAUCAUUUAGCAAAAAGAUGGCAGAGCUGGCAUGAAUACCAAUCACCCUCAGAUGAAGACGGACACAACCCAGAACAAGCACUACACGAGGAUCUGGGAGAGAGGAGCGGUCUGUGCGGUGAAGGGUGUUGAGGAUCACAAUCGGGAUGAUGAGGGUGCCCUCUUGAGGAUUACUGCCAAGGAUCCAAAUUCAAAGCUCUGCGUCUGAGACAGACACCAGCCACUUGUCGCAGACAUAAUCCUCAGGUCAACACACUUUCCUCCAAAUGUCACCUCUCUUUUGAGCCACAGGUUCUAGUUGUCUAGGGCAGUGUCAGGGAGAAGGCCAUGGGCAAUGCUGAGGUGCGUUAAUGUAGAGAUAUAUGGAUAGUCUGUAUUGCAUAGUUGCAUGGAUGAGUAAAUAAAACUAAUGGAAACUUAUUAAAACAAUCAUAAUGAAAAGAUUACACUUUGUGUAACAAUUUUUUAUACACAGUAUAGAUGUCAAUGUCACAAAACAACCACUGUUAUACAAUUUGCUGUAAUCAAAAUAUGAAUUACAUAUAAAAAUUGUGAAAACUGGCAUCAAAUAUAAUAGCAGUAGUAAAAUGUAUCAAAUGGCUUUAUGCAACAACAGCAUAAAGUACUAAUUGAUUAAAUGCUCUAAAAUAUAUUUAUGUGUAUACACACACACACACAUGUGAAAAAAAAUAAA